AAUGUGGAAAAAACACCAAGGUGUGGUUUUCAGGUGACAGUUUGCCUCAAUUUGCUUGCAGACUGUCCCAAGGGGGCCUAUGGGGCUGGCUGUGCUUCAGAAUGUCAGUGUGUGGAGGAGAACACCCUGGAAUGCAGCGCCAAAAAUGGCAGUUGCACCUGCAAAUCUGGUUACCAAGGCAACAGAUGCCAGAAAGCCUGCCCUGAUGGACUCUGGGGACCAGAGUGCCAGGUCUCCUGUGGACCCUGUGAGAAUGGAGGUCAAUGUAACAAAAAAACUGGAAACUGUGACUGUCCUCCUGGUUACACAGGAAAAGACUGCACCACACUUUGUCCACCAGGCACAUAUGGGAAGGACUGUAAACAGGUAUGUCAGUGUUCGGCCGAGAAAGAGGACUGUCACCCAGUGACAGGGAGAUGUACCUGUCUGCCCGGCUACCAUGGAAACCACUGUCAUCUCGAAUGUCCAAAAGGCACUUAUGGUCCCUAUUGCCAAAGGACUUGUAAGUGCUUGAAUGGUGGCAACUGUGACACCGUGAUUGGCACCUGUGACUGCCCUCCAGGCUACAUUGGGGCUGACUGCA
Molecule: long non-coding RNA, 583 nt
Organism: Myotis daubentonii (Daubenton's bat)
Lineage: Eukaryota; Metazoa; Chordata; Mammalia; Chiroptera; Vespertilionidae
Exons: 4
Source: RefSeq, a predicted model, not a curated record